GUCUAUAGCCAUGGUACCCUGAACAAGCCUGAUCCUGUUCGAUCUCGGAAGCUAAGCAGGGUUGGGCCUGGUUAGUACUUGGAUGGGAGACCACCUAGGAAGACCAGGUUCUGUAGGAG
This 119-nucleotide ribosomal RNA is filed under the name Pteropus alecto (black flying fox). The record is from RNAcentral. Lineage: Eukaryota; Metazoa; Chordata; Mammalia; Chiroptera; Pteropodidae.